GCAGAGGGCUGGAUGGCCGCGGGCGGCAACGUCAGAGGAAAGUCCGGACUCCAUAAGGCAACGGUGCCGGGUAACGCCCGGCUGGGGAAACCCAAGGGAAAGCGCCACAGAGAACAGACCGCUCCCGCUUGCGGGAGUAAGGGUGAAACGGUGGGGUAAGAGCCCACCGCGGCCCUGGCAACAGGGACGGCACGGCAAGCCCCACCGGGAGCAAUGCCAAAUAGGGAUCGCGUGUGCGCAAGCACAGGGGCGCCUUGCCCCGAGCAGGUCCGGGUUGGCAGCUAUAGGGCGUCUGGCAACAGGCGCUUAAGAUGAAUGGUCAUCGAACCGAGGGCAACUUCGGGGAACAAAAUCCGGCUUAUAGGCCCUCUGCGCGU
RNAcentral lists this RNase P RNA (377 nucleotides) under Shimia sp. SK013. RNAcentral's name for it is "Bacterial RNase P class A". It matches the Rfam family "Bacterial RNase P class A". Rfam says of the family: Ribonuclease P (RNase P) is a ubiquitous endoribonuclease, found in archaea, bacteria and eukarya as well as chloroplasts and mitochondria. Lineage: Bacteria; Pseudomonadati; Pseudomonadota; Alphaproteobacteria; Rhodobacterales; Roseobacteraceae. The record is from Rfam by way of RNAcentral.